UGCUCGGCAACUAUUUCUAGGUCUAGGACUACUGUAGACUUUAUUAGUUUAUAUGAUUAUACAACCGCGUGAUAUUUGGUUCUUUUUUUACUAUUACUAUGUGCAAAGUUAAAUUUGAUGUGCUACGUUUGGAAUAUUCUUAUUUCUCCAAGUGAACGGAAAUUAACGAAAUUAGAGAGUUCGGAAAGUAUAAGUGUCAGUGAAGAUCUAUAUAUAUUUUAGAACUAUGGAAGAUUUAGGAUUGGCAAUGUUUGGGGGUUACUGGCUUUGGCUCCACAAUGGCUUCAGUGAUUAAACCUCAGUCUGACUCCAGCAGCCCUUCCUCAGUUCCUGAACAACAGAAUCCUAUGGCAAACUAGGAUAACAUUAUUUAUAAAUGGCAUUUUCCACAAGACAGUUGACUAUGAUUGCAGUCUGAGAACAACAAGUAAAUCCUCUACUCUGGCCAAUUCUUGCAGAUUUUGCUCAAUGAAAGGUGAAUGACUAGAUAUGAAUGGAGAGGUAAAAAGGCGGACAGACGAUUAAGUGAUAAAGAUAUAAAUAGUGUGAGAAGAGUGGAAACAGCAGACAGACUAUAGCAGAAGAGAGUAAAGUUAUGGACAAGGAAAAGUUUAGCGUGAA
Molecule: long non-coding RNA, 621 nt
Organism: Limulus polyphemus (Atlantic horseshoe crab)
Lineage: Eukaryota; Metazoa; Arthropoda; Merostomata; Xiphosura; Limulidae
Exons: 3
Source: RefSeq, a predicted model, not a curated record